GACGAACGCUGGCGGCGUGCCUAAUACAUGCAAGUCGAGCGGACUUACAAAGCUUGCUUUUUAAGUUAGCGGCGGACGGGUGAGUAACACGUGGGCAACCUGCCUGUAAGACUGGGAUAACUUCGGGAAACCGGAGCUAAUACCGGAUAAUCCUUUUCUACUCAUGUAGAAAAGCUGAAAGACGGUUUACGCUGUCACUUACAGAUGGGCCCGCGGCGCAUUAGCUAGUUGGUGAGGUAACGGCUCACCAAGGCGACGAUGCGUAGCCGACCUGAGAGGGUGAUCGGCCACACUGGGACUGAGACACGGCCCAGACCCCUACGGGAGGCAGCAGUAGGGAAUCUUCCGCAAUGGACGAAAGUCUGACGGAGCAACGCCGCGUGAGUGAUGAAGGUUUUCGGAUCGUAAAACUCUGUUGUUAGGGAAGAACAAGUACGAGAGUAACUGCUCGUACCUUGACGGUACCUAACCAGAAAGCCACGGCUAACUACGUG
This 494-nucleotide ribosomal RNA is filed under the name uncultured bacterium. RNAcentral's name for it is "partial 16S ribosomal RNA". It matches the Rfam family "Bacterial small subunit ribosomal RNA", at positions 28 to 507 of the family's 1533-position model. The record is from RNAcentral.